Molecule: ribosomal RNA, 253 nt
Filed under: uncultured bacterium
Lineage: Bacteria
Description: partial 16S ribosomal RNA
Rfam family: Bacterial small subunit ribosomal RNA
Source: RNAcentral
UACGUAGGGGGCUAGCGUUGUUCGGAAUCACUGGGCGUAAAGGGCGCGUAGGCGGCUUUAUAAGUCGGGGGUGAAAGCCUGUGGCUCAACCACAGAAUUGCCUUCGAUACUGUAGAGCUUGAGACCGGAAGAGGUAAGUGGAACUGCGAGUGUAGAGGUGAAAUUCGUAGAUAUUCGCAAGAACACCAGUGGCGAAGGCGGCUUACUGGUCCGGUUCUGACACUGAGGCGCGAAAGCGUGGGGAGCAAACAGG